CACGGGGGGAGCAAGCGUUGUUCGGAAUCACUGGGCGUAAAGGGCGUGUAGGCGGUUCGGUAAGUGGAAUGUGAAAUGCUCCGGCUCACCCGGAGUACUGCAUCCCAAACUGCCGGGCUUGAGUAUGGGAGAGGAUGAGGGAAUUCCAGGUGUAGCGGUGAAAUGCGUAGAUAUCUGGAGGAACACCGGUGGCGAAGGCGGCAUUCUGGACCGAAACUGACGCUGAGGCGCGAAAGCCAGGGGAGCAAACGGG
Molecule: ribosomal RNA, 253 nt
Filed under: uncultured prokaryote
Description: partial 16S ribosomal RNA
Rfam family: Bacterial small subunit ribosomal RNA
Source: RNAcentral